GAUGAACGCUGGCGGCGUGCCUAAUACAUGCAAGUCGAGCGAACAGACGAGGAGCUUGCUCCUCUGACGUUAGCGGCGGACGUGUGAGUAACACGUGGAUACCCUACCUAUAAGACUGGGAUAACUUCGGGAAACCGGAGCUAAUACCGGAUAACAUGUUGAACCGCAUGGUUCAACAGUGAAAGACGGUCUUGCUGUCACUUAUAGAUGGAUCCGCGCCGCAUUAGCUAGUUGGUAAGGUAACGGCUUACCAAGGCAACGAUGCGUAGCCGACCUGAAAGGGUGAUCGGCCACACGGGAACUGAGACACGGUCCAGACUCCUACGGGAGGCAGCAGUAGGGAAUCUUCCGCAAUGGGCGAAAGCCUGACGGAGCAACGCCGCGUGAGUGAAGAAGGUCUUCGGAUCGUAAAACUCUGUUAUUAGGGAAGAACAAAUGUGUAAGUAAAUAUGCACGUAUUGACGGUACCUAAUCAGAAAGCCACGGCUAACUACGUG
Molecule: ribosomal RNA, 497 nt
Filed under: uncultured bacterium
Lineage: Bacteria
Description: partial 16S ribosomal RNA
Rfam family: Bacterial small subunit ribosomal RNA
Source: RNAcentral